Molecule: long non-coding RNA, 2261 nt
Organism: Pygoscelis adeliae (Adelie penguin)
Lineage: Eukaryota; Metazoa; Chordata; Aves; Sphenisciformes; Spheniscidae
Exons: 5
Source: RefSeq, a predicted model, not a curated record
AACCUGCAUCGCCCUGAGGAAACAGCAGCAUCCCAGUUGUAUGCUGCUGUGCCUGAAGGUUUUGAAGCCCAGGUUGCCCGCCUGGUGGAAAUGUUUCUGGCGGAGGCAUACAGGUGCAAGCUCUGCCAGUUGACAAGCAGCAUCAAAAGUAAGAUCAAGACGCACCUGGCUUAUAUGCAUGAAACAGAUCCAGCGUGUCAAGUUUCAGGCUGUCCUAAAAUGGACCAAGAUGAAAAUGAGUCUUAUAGCAUGGGAGAUGAAGCUAACCAAGAAAAUAAAGAAAACGAAGAAAAUCGUGCAAAAAAGAUCUGUUUUAUUACCUGUGUGUCAGAUACUUCAAAAUAUGAGUCCUCCCUGUUGUGACAUGAGCCCAAGCAGUCAGAGCAAUAAUCCUCACGCCUCUCACUCCUGUGAGUGAACACCUUGUUUGGAGAAGCAGCAGCUCAUUUGCAGCUUGAGGAGCCCUGUUCUGCAGUGCCGACUUCUCUUUCAUAUUCCAAGAGCAAAGAUGAAGCAGCAGCCCAGUCUGUGCAUCUUGGCCUCUGUUGUGUUUCCAGUGUUAGAACUCAGACCUUAGCUGGGGAGAUGAAAACCCUUAAAGCUGAAUCAAGGUGUAAAAAAUUACAAAAAUCAGAAGACAGCUAGAUGUGACAGUAAAGGGUUAGCUCAUCCUGUGAAAGAUGCUUGCGCUUUAAAGCUGGGUUCUGAGAGAACGCAGCGUUUCCACAACGCGUGCGAUGUAGCAAUGAAGUCGAAAGAUACUCAUAAAAUCCAUGAAAAUGGUCAUGAUGUGGAUUGUGGCUUUAAAUGCGUUUAUUGUCCCGUGACUGAGUGGGACUUAAUGGGAAAUCAUUUAAAAUCACACAAGUGGAUAAAAGAAACCUACCAGUGCCUCAUCUGUGAAAGUGGUUUUAUGUCACAAAGUGCCUGGAAAGUGCACAGAGACAGCCAUCAGAGGAAACCCCAUCUCUUUCAGUGCACAAUGCAUUCAUCAUCUUUCGAAACUGAGCGGAUAAGAAAUCUUCAUGUAGCUUGCCAUUAUCAGGAUAUGUUUAAAUGUCCACACAGUGAUUUUACCAGUCAUGUGACAUCUAGACUGUUUAGGGUCACUGGCUUCAGCUCCGUUAUGACAUCCUAACAUACACUGUGUUGGUGAUGAUGUAUUGACCACUGAACCACUCUGAAGCAUAGAGCUGGUGUACACUGCAUGGAGGGUCAGGUGCUCAAAACCAGAUGUCAGAUGAAUGGACAUAACAAAUGAAUCCAUGAGGAAAAAAAAAGAAAUGAAAAACAAAUGAAAGACGAAAGAAGGCUGAAGAUAAUCCUGUGUGCUCUAACACAAAAGCAACUAGAAAGAAGGAUUCAAGUUAAUUUGCAUGUAGUACCAACGGUGAGAAGCCUUUCAAAUGUGAGAUCUGCUCUUACGCCUCCAUUGAUGCAAGGUCUCUGCAGCAGCACUUCCCAGCAUGCGCUAGUGAGAGGCCCUACAAAUGUUGACUCUGUUCAUAUAGUUGCAUUCGGAAGAAGAGCUUCGACCUUCACAUAUGCCGACAUCACACUGGUGAGGCAUUUGGCCAUAGUUUUUGCUGCUAUUCUUCCCCUGACAAACAACUUCUCCGAAAACACGUUAAGAAAUAUCACCUGGGUUCAGGAACCUCAUUAACCAGUUCCCAGCCCACCUUUACCCUCAAAUCACUUCUGUGGAACAUUAGGUUCUUCACGCUUAAAAUUCCACCAGAGCAUCCCGGCAAAUAAAGAAGCUGUUGGCAUUGUCGAACUUUUGUGCUGAAAGCCAGGGAAGAAGAGAAGAAGAGGUCCUUAUGUGACAAUUGGAAGCACUUAGGAUGGUCUUCCCAAAAAGCUUGGCGUGCGUUAUUGUAGAGGUGGUAACUCCAAUGUGCUGAGAGGAGCGUGGAGAUUUAUGUUGCGUCAGGGGUGGACAUGUUGAUUUUUGUUGUGGUUACCUCUUGCUGAUAUAGUCCGCUUACUUACAAAUGAAGAGUUUGACGUUUCAAGGCAGAAUCUGUUGAAAUGUACCAUAGCUGACAGUGAACCCUGCAGGUGGUUUCUAUACUACACCUUUCAUUUUUAAUACAGGUCCCUAUAUAAAACAGUAAAUGAUUCAAGAAAAUCUACUGAUGGUGUAACACUCAUAAUAUGGUAAAAAAAAUCCAUUAAAUUUCUUCAUGGUUAUUUUGUAUAACAGAAUGUGUCUAUUAUCAUAAGCUAAUCCAGUGUUGAAGUAAAAAUAGAAACUAUUG